GACGAACGCUGGCGGCAUGCUUAACACAUGCAAGUCGAACGGAAAGGCCCUGCUUUUGUGGGGUGCUCGAGUGGCGAACGGGUGAGUAACACGUGAGUAACCUGCCCUUGACUUUGGGAUAACUUCAGGAAACUGGGGCUAAUACCGGAUAGGAGCUCCUGCUGCAUGGUGGGGGUUGGAAAGUUUCGGCGGUUGGGGAUGGACUCGCGGCUUAUCAGCUUGUUGGUGGGGUAGUGGCUUACCAAGGCUUCGACGGGUAGCCGGCCUGAGAGGGUGACCGGCCACAUUGGGACUGAGAUACGGCCCAGACUCCUACGGGAGGCAGCAGUGGGGAAUAUUGCACAAUGGGCGGAAGCCUGAUGCAGCAACGCCGCGUGCGGGAUGACGGCCUUCGGGUUGUAAACCGCUUUCGCCUGUGACGAAGCGUGAGUGACGGUAAUGGGUAAAGAAGCACCGGCUAACUACGUG
RNAcentral lists this ribosomal RNA (468 nucleotides) under uncultured bacterium. RNAcentral's name for it is "partial 16S ribosomal RNA". It matches the Rfam family "Bacterial small subunit ribosomal RNA", at positions 28 to 507 of the family's 1533-position model. The record is from RNAcentral.